UGGAAAAGGGGCUGACUGGCCCUGGCACUUCCGAGGUGCGACCUCAGCAAGACAAGUCCCCUCUUCACCAGAGACGACACGGCGGGUCAUUCCGGACUCCUGACGCCGCCAGUCCCGCGGUGAGACGUGAGCGCCAUUGGCGUCCGUGGCCUCUGUUUCCGUGGCAACCUAGUAACCAUUAAUUUUCAAUUAAAGGAGACAAAAAGCUCGAUGACAGCUCCAGGUCUGCUGAAGAUGUCAAGAAUCUGUAUUAAUAUACAGCAAGAGAGCAUAAUUGUGUGUCCAUCUUCCAGAGCAGCGAAAAAUGGAGGGAUAAUUACCAGCUCGAAAGCCACUCUGUAAUUUAGUUCUUACUGUCACCACAGCCCUACACAUUAGCAUAAAUUAAAAGCAGAGUUUAUUGUUAUCAAAGUGCAAAAAAAAAAAAAA
This 429-nucleotide long non-coding RNA is filed under the name Homo sapiens (human). RNAcentral's name for it is "FOXP4 antisense RNA 1, transcript variant 2 (FOXP4-AS1)". Lineage: Eukaryota; Metazoa; Chordata; Mammalia; Primates; Hominidae. The record is from RNAcentral.